AUGUGCGGACGGGAUAAGUGCUGAAAGCAUCUAAGCAUGAAGCCCCCCUCAAGAUGAGAUUUCCCAUAGCGUCAAGCUAGUAAGAUCCCUGAGAGAUGAUCAGGUUGAUAGGUCAGAGGUGGAAGCGCGGUGACGUGUGGAGCUGACUGAUACUAAUCGAUCGAGGACUUAACCUAAUU
RNAcentral lists this ribosomal RNA (179 nucleotides) under Mesobacillus campisalis. RNAcentral describes it as "Bacillus campisalis partial 23S ribosomal RNA". It matches the Rfam family "Bacterial large subunit ribosomal RNA", at positions 2751 to 2925 of the family's 2925-position model. Lineage: Bacteria; Bacillati; Bacillota; Bacilli; Caryophanales; Bacillaceae. The record is from RNAcentral.